UGUCCAGGUAGCCUGUAUUGCCAGCCUAUCCUCAAGAAUGACCACACUCCCCAAUAAUUUGGUUUUGUCCGUGAACUUUGCCUGUUUGCUUUUAAUAACCAAAUCCAAAUCAUUGGUGAGCAGUUGAAAAG
Molecule: long non-coding RNA, 131 nt
Organism: Gavialis gangeticus (Gharial)
Lineage: Eukaryota; Metazoa; Chordata; Crocodylia; Gavialidae
Exons: 3
Source: RefSeq, a predicted model, not a curated record